CAUAGUGUUAACCUUUGUCUUGUUUGUUAGUGAUUCAUUCCAUUGAUUCAAUUCCACAAUUUCAGGAAUUGGAUCAACCUUGGAGGAACUGGAAGCUUGCAAAUUUCCUUCAGUCUAUUGAUCCCAAGCAGUUUGCGGAUUUUCAGUCUGCAGAGCUGCAUGAGUGGGCGUGGAGGCACUGCAAUCAGAACCAGCAAAUGAAUACACAGAUGUUCAGUGAGCCGUGCACAGAGUUUCACAUGCCCAACAUAGUCAAGCAGCACAUCUAUAAUCGGUCCUGCCCAGUGGGAGUAGGUUUCGGUGGAGAUCACCUCACAGAACUAGUAAAACACGUAUAAAAUGUGGAGGAUGAGGAUUGCUGCCAUAAACACAACUGAAACAUGACAAGGCAUCACAGCCAUUAUCCAUCAGAAACUUCAGUAAGGAUGCCCAUCCCGAGGUAACUUGAGUGUUCGUCAGCUAUACCCAGCCUCUUACGAAAACUUCAGAUGACCCAACACCCGUGAAGAGAUGGCGCCAACUCUUGCGAGGACUUCAGAUGAUGCAAACUCUAAAUUUUCCAUAUUUAUAAUCAUGUCCACAACUCGUAAUAAUUCCUUCAAAGAGCUAAGUGUUUCUGCCAUAAAUUAUACAUUGUUAGCUAACUGGGUGAUUUGAAUAUGUAGGCCAACAUUUCUGAAAUUACUUGGACAUAGCCACCUCUUAUAUAUACCGGUAUCACUCUAAAUGUAUGUAGACACAUGCUUUUUCUUUAAAGCUGCUUUGAAACAAUAUGUAGUGUGAAAAGCGCUAUACAAAUACAAAUGUGAAUUGAGCUGAAUG
This is a non-coding RNA of Pimephales promelas (fathead minnow), 822 nucleotides long. Lineage: Eukaryota; Metazoa; Chordata; Actinopteri; Cypriniformes; Leuciscidae. The record is from RefSeq and is a predicted model, not a curated record.